CUCGCUAUAUACAAUUUAGACAACUUAAGAUAUUUUAAAUGUAUCAAUUUUCCAACAUUAUCUGGAAUUUCUGUAAUCCAAUUUGUGUCUUCAUACAAAAGCUUGGUCGAUUGGCUUAUAACUAAUGCCCUUAAACAUGCCAAUUUACUAAAUAACUCCCGAAGGAUGCUACUGUUAAGAGAUAAAUUGACAAAACUUUGGUCAUAAAUUAAUAGGGUACGCAAUCUAUUAAGUCCAUAAAUGGUCAUAGGAAAUGAAGCUCCUCCUCCAAAAUUUAACCCUAAGUGACGGACUUUGUCACCAAAAAAGUUUAUGACUGAUUCCUUGGUACCAUUAAUUUCUAGCCACAAACAUUCUUUGCUACUUACAAAUUGGGCAAAAUCAUGUACUAUGUCAUGCAUCUUACACCACAUAAAAUCAUCAUCGUCAUCAUAUAUUUUAAACUCUUGAAAGAAAGAGCGUGUUGCUAAGAUGUUGAAAUACUCUUCUCCAAUCAUCUCCAUUUCUUCGUCUUCUUCUGCAUUAAGGUAACCUUGAGCCAUCCACAGAUCAAUCAACUCCUCUUUAUCCAUCUCGUAGUCUUUUGGAAAGACAACACAAUAUGAGAAACACCGUUUUACCAUAGAAUUGGAGGGCAAAUCGUUAUAACUCAACAACAAAGGAGCUAAAAGACCUUGCCCAAUCUCUUCUACUUUCCACAUUUCACUAUCUAAAAUUAUUUGCCACUCUUUUUCUGUAAUUUUAGAGCGCAAGAGAUUCCCUAUUACCUUUGCAGCAAGAGGCAGGCCUUUGCACUUCCGUGCAAUUUUUCUCCCGAUUGGUUCUAAUUUUUCACGAUCCUCAAAGGACCUACGUAGAAAUGCUAUCUGCUUAAACAGUAACCAACAUUCCCCUUCACCCAACUCCUUGACAGGGAUAAUAUCUAUUGAUCCCAACUGUAGUGCAACUGACCUAUCACGUGUGGUAAUUAGAAUUUUACUUUCAUGGCGGCCAUUCUUUAGACAAGAAAAGAAUAGGUCCCAUUUUUUGUAAUCUCCAUCCCACACAUCAUCUAAAACAAGAAAAAAUUUCUUCCCUGUAAUAUAUUCCUGAAUCUGUUUCAUAAGAGAUUCGAAUUCGCUUAAACCAGAAGCUGACACACCUAAACCUUCAAUGAUUGCUUUGGCGACCCUAAUCUCCUCAAAAGUGUCUGAUACACACACCCAUAUAACUUUGUCAAAAUUUCUUUUCACCUCAUCAUUAUUAUAGGCUAGUUGUGCAAGAGUGGUUUUACCUAUACCCCCUAACCCAACUAGUGAGAUGAUAUGAAGGCCUUCUUGUUGUUCACUACUUUCACACAACAACUUGCUUAAGAGCUUCUUUUUCUCAUCAUCUCUACCGCAAACCUCUCCCUCAUCAAUCAAGGAGAUGGUUCGCACUCGCUCUGGAUUCCUAACAUUGUUACUCACAUUCUCAACAAAAUUAAACCUAUCUUUUCGAGUGGCAAUAUCAUCUAGCUUUUCACUGAUUUCUCUAAUCUUGACAGCAAUAUGAUGACGAAGACUGAGUUGUUUGAAACCACCAAAGCAGUUUGAGGCAGCAGGAAAGAAGGAACAUACCUUCGUCAAAAAAGUAACAAAAGCACUGUCGUUAUCAUCAUCAUCAUCAUCGCCUCGCUCAUCAAGCUGCAAUUUCCGUGUUUCAGUGAUCCACUCUUCCAACACAUCUUCCAUGUCGUAGGAUGCGUCUCUGAGCUGAUCCAGCCAAAAAGUAACAGCUUUGUCCUGCUUCAUUUGCCUCUGCUCUGCAUCUUCCAGCACAGCUUGAAUGGCUUGAAGAUUGGUGGUAAGCUUUCCCACUUCAUGUUCGACACCCGUGACAAGCCUCCACUUUUCUUUCACCUGAUCUUGAGCAAUGGAUUUCAGCUGGUCCAGGAGAGAGGAAACGAUCGCAUGAGCCAUUCUGAUAUUAGAUCAAAUGGUAAAUGCUGCAAUUGCUUUUCGUGCUGCUUAAAUGCUCAGAGGAAAGUAGCUUUUAUGUAUUCUGAGAGAAUGUUCAUUCAAGCAUGUUUGGAUUCUUCUUAUACUAAUUGGAGAUAUUUUAAUUUUUACCCUCAAGUCAAUGUCAAUGUGAACGUUCUUUUGUGCUGCAAAUUGAAGGAGUCCCCACAGGAGUCACCGUCGUGGGCUAGCUUUCUGCGGAGUACACAGCAUCAGCACUUGUAAAAUUUCUUACAUUUGUAUUUAGUUACUUGCCGCUCUUAAGAUAAUUAGCAACAAAAUAUUUGUAAACUGCAACAAAAAGCUCAGUGCAAUCUAUCUAUGAAUCUUGUGAGUUCACAUAUAAUACAGUCGAUUUAGAAUAGUCAUAAAUUUUUUUUAAUUAUAAAUAGUAGUAUAUUUUUAAUGGUAUAAUAUAUAUCGAUGAAACUAUAUAGAGUAAUUUCGCCUAAUUGUAUAAAUUCAUUAUGAAUAUCAUCACAAAUUUGUAUUUGGUCGGGACCGUGCGAGUGAAAUUUUUGAUAAAAAUCAUCUCCUGACAAUUUAUUUAUUAUAUUUUUCAAUUUAGCUUUAACGUAUGGAUCCAUUCCUUUUAUUAUCAGGUAGGCCAAAGCCAUUUGGUCAUUUGAUCCAUUCCUUUUAUUAUCAGGUAGUUCAAAUUUGUAUGGAUCCAUUCCUUUAGUUGGGACUUGGAAUAAGAUUAAAGAAAAAAAAGUUAUCCAUUUAUGAGACUUUAAUUUAUGUCAUUAUUGUUUAUUUAUAUUUAAUAUUAAUCAUGAAAAUUAAUAAUACCAUCAAUUAAUUGAUUUUACAUACUUUUUUAAAUAUUUGAUAAGAAUUUGAUAAAAAAUUAAUUAAGUAUUUAAAUUUUUAUUCAUUUUUUUAUUUGUUUAUUUUAUUAUGAAUACCCAAUAACUUACAAUAUGAUUAAUUUUCUUAUUCAGACUACUCAGCAUCAGCUCCUGUAAAAUUUCUUACAUUAUAAGCAACAAAAUAUUUAUAAACUACAACAAAAAGCUUAGAUCAAUCCACCGAUGAACCUUUUGAAGUUAUAUAUAAUAUAUUAAUUAUUGAUCUAGAAUAGUCUUAGUGGAUAGAUUUUUUUAAUUAUAAAUAUCAAUAAAUUUUUUAUCGUUUAAUAGAUAUUGAUGAAAUAAUAUAGUGUAAUUUUGCCCAAUCAAAUUAAUCCAUUAUGAAUUUCAGCACAAAUUUGCAUGUGGUCUGGACCGUGCAAGUGAAAUUUUUUUAUUAUAUUUUUCAACUUGGCCGACAACAUCUUUUUGUCAGGUAGGCAAAAGCAAAAGCCAUUAUCUCUAUUAUGCCAUGACAAACUCCAAGAUCUAAUUUAGAGAGCGACAACUUUUGUUAUCAGGUAGGCAAAAGCCAUUGUCUCAUUAAUUCAUUUGGUCAUUUGAAAAAGUUGUGGCUCUGUUUUAGUCCAGUGUCAAUAUAUAACUUUAUUAUGUCAUCACAAACUUCAAAAUAUAGUUUAGAGUGUGACUCGAAUAAUUUUAAUUAGUAAUUUAUUAUAUCUACAGUCGGAUACUUUGUUGAGAAAAAAAAAAAAGAAUAAAAUCUGUCCCAUAAUGAUUUUAAUAAAUAUCAUACUAUCGUCCACGUACUUGGGCCAUCUUCAAUAUGACACCAAAUCUAACACCAAAUCACCUUUUGUAUCAUUUUUAGUAUAAAAUACUUCUCUAAUGUAACACUAAAAGCAACACCAAAAUAGUGUUAUGAAUAAUAUUGCAUCAAAUAUGGUGCAACACUAUUCAUUUGGUGCUAGGAAAAAAAAGUCCCAAAUAUCCUUACUACCUUUUCUUAUUUACAUAUAUGUCCUAUUUUAUAUAAUAUUUUAAGUUAUUAUUAUUAUUAUUUUUGUUAUUAUUUUUUUUUCAUUUUUUUAAUUUUUGAAUAUUAUACUAAAAUUUUAAAUAAAAAAUAUUUAACACAAAAAUUAAUAAUAAAAAGAAAAUGCCAAAUUUAAUAAUUUUCUAUAUUUCUUUUGUUAAUCGAUAUAAAAUUAUUUAUUACUUAAUUAUAUGUAUUAAUAGUAAUAUUUAUUGUGUUAAUUGAAUUAAUUCUUGAAAUUAAAAGAAUAAAAAGAAGAAUAUUCUUUUUGGUGUAAAUGGAUUGGAGAUGAAAUAGCAAUUUGGUGUGAAAAAAGUACAUUUUUGGUGUAGUAUCACUAUUGUGGUGAUACUAUAGUGACACAAGAUACUGACGCAAAAAUCACUGACACCAAAAAUUAGUGUCAGUGUGUUCUAGCUUGAGCAUUACUGACACAAUUAACAAGUGUCAGCAAAAGUAAUUACUGACACUAAAGUGGUGUCAGUAAAGCCCAUUUUUCUAGUAGUGAAUUUUUAACUCAAUCGCAGGGCAUAAUAGCCUAGGUUGUUCUGCAUUUGGUUCGACUCAUCGCAAGCUUGGAAACUAUAUUAUAUGUCCAAAACGAAUACUCGUAACCCAAUUUCUAGCCUCGGAAGAUACCCUGCUUAUUCCAUGCAACAAUCUUAUAUCAACUUGCCUUCUCUGCAUCUUCAAGCACAACUUGAAUGGCUUGAAGAUUUAUGGUAAGUCACAAGCAGCAAAGGAGUUCAGCUGCUCCGGGAGAGGGGAAGCGAUCACAUCCAUUCUGGCAAAGAAAAGGAGAAAUAAUUUCAUAAGUUGUUCAACGUGCUUUUGUUGCAAAAAUACUGAAAGAAACGAGUUGUUGCAUUCUUCUUACACUACACGAAAAAUGUUUAUGGUUAUUGUCGCCUAACCCACGCGUCAAUAAUUUUAGCAUUUUUAAUUUUCCUGAUUCUACUCCACAUCUGUGAUACAUAAUUGUAAAUAUUCUCUAAUUAAUUUGUAGUGGUCGGGCCAGUGCCAUUUAAAACGAAAACAAAAAACCAAAAGAAAAAAAAAACAAAAGUUGGAAAAAAGCAUGCAUCACCGAUAAUUCAUUUAUUUAUUUGAGGACGGGGAUAUUUUCUACCUACUUAUUUUACAAAUCUACCUCGCUGUCAGAAAAUAAUUGUAAUACGUUCAUACUAUUUUUAAAAUAUAUAAAUCAAUAAAACGUAUAGACAAUCAAUAAAUUAAAUCAUUCAUAUAAUUUUUUAUUUUUUUAACUUAGGUGUCUUUGACCAUUUAGGUUGCUUUAAGAUAAGUUUUAUUUGACUAAUUUACCAUGAUAAUAUAAAAUGACUAAAAUACCCCAAGAAUCAAGAGUUCUUGUAUAUAAUAGUUUAGGUAUUUUAUUUUAUUUGAUUCAAUCUCCAAACUUAUUGUAAUUACAUCUUCUUUAUUUCAAUUUUUAAAAAAUAAUUUGAACUUAUUGUAAUUAUUUCUUGAGAGUGGGGUGGGUUUACAAAAAUUAUGGGCCUUUUCGUUUAUUAAUUCUUGGAAAUUAAUGGCUCCGUAAUCAAUUUCUUUUGUUCUUUUAUUUAAAUAGAAAAGAAAAAUUAAGAGGAGCUUUUGUCUAUUGAAUUGAGGUUCUGUGAAGAAAAAUACGUAUCAAAUGAUCGACGGAUUGUACUUUUCAAUUUUUUACUUCACAGUACUUUUCUUUAUUUGCUGGGUCAUUUAUGUUUUUUUGGACGGAUUUAAGUGUGCUUAUACAUUUUAUUGAAUUUUAUUUUGAUAAAAUCACCAACGAUCAGAAGAGAUUUACACUACCUAUCUGAGUAUUUGGUUCUCUAAUGUAAGGAAGCAUGUAAUCUUUCGCCAAUAAUUUUUUAUUUCAUCAAAAUGUUAAAAUGUUGAAAGGAGAAUUAGAUUUAUUUUUUAUAUAAAAAAGAGAAUUAGAGUUCAUAUUGUAGAAAAUUCUUUUUCCUACUAUAAGUCCAGUUCGAAUCUUUGAAGCAAAUGAUCUAAUCUCAAGCAUAGAAAGUAGGAAGAUCGAUUGAACAGCGGACACAUUAACAAAAAAUAAUUACUUUAAAAAGUUAAUAUUGGAUAUCACAAAACUUUUAUUAUUAUUAUUGUAAGUUGGUAUGUUGAAAAAUAAACAAGCUUUAUAUGAACUUUAAACACAGAUAAUAAUUUGCACGUAGUAAAAUUGCUUAAUACAUCCAUUAUUUUAUCAUUUUUAACUUUAUCUAUCGGUUAUUUUCAUUUUGAAAAUAUAGGAUAAAUGAAAUAAUAACAAACACAUAUUUCAAUUGAAAAUUUAUCAACUUGAAAACACCAUUUUCAUUCUCAUAAUAUGAAUUUAAAAAUAAAAUACAGAACAUGCCCUAACAUUUUCUGAAUUUAUUUUUAUACCGUAAAAGAAUCAAAUUACUCACACAAUUAUUUUAGCUUUUAUGAUAUAAACAAAUAAUCAUUAUUUAAAUUCAAUAGAAAGAGGUAUUCUUGGUAGAAUUGACGUCUUUAGCAAAAUAUAAUCUAUUUGGGACUUCUUACUCCAUUAGGUUAAUUGGCUCAUCAUUAAUUUUCGAUUAUAAACUUUAUAUUCGAACUUUGUAAGACCAUCAUUUCUCCCUUUUUAUUUUAAAAAAAAAAUUAACUUCUUGCAUGAUCUAGGUGGUCUCCUUUCAAAAGAAACCAAAAAAAAAAAAAAAACUAAAAUAAAAGGAAAUAAAGCAUAUUCUUUAUCUUAAUUACUUUCAUUUGUUAUUGACAUGUACUCAUGCAUUGUGGUCUUUUGUAUACUUUAUCGAUAUGUUUUGCUUAAGGGAUAAAACUCAUUAUGUGGCAAAAUUUUAUUAGAGCUGGGAUUAUUUAUCUGUGUUCUAGUACUUUGAGCAUCUUACUAUACACUCGUCUAUAAAAUUUUAACAUUAAUUUUUACUACUCAUCGAAAUAUCAAAAUAGUCCUUACUAAACAUCUCUCAUUAAUGUUCUGUAACGUAUGUGAAAAAAAAAUAAUAAUAAUAAGAGGAAGCUGGGUAAUGUUUUAUGGGCGAGAGGGAUAGAGGAAGCUGUCAAACCGACCCGGAAAACCCGACCCAAAACUGCGAACCCGACCCAGACAUAUCUCCGAUUUUCGGCCACCUCACCGGCCAUGGAUGGUAGCAACGAAAGCUCCUGAGCCAGCCAUCACUUUCCCACCGUCACUGUCGCCAAAAACCAACCGAAACGCCGCCGUUUGAAGCGCGAAUAGUCGCAGCCAAAACCUAUCACGACCGUCGUUGAUUCCGUCGGAAUUAGGCCAUGCCAGACGGAGAAAUGGUAGGGGGUAAACAGAGUUUGUAACGGAGGUGGGGUAAAUGGAGGAUGAUGUAGAGAGGGCAACCAACGGCCAUGAUGAGGGAGAGGAGGAGGAGGAGGAGGAGGAGGGUGAGGUUAUGGACGGCUGUGAUGGGCUUGAGGAUGUGGGGUCCAAUGAGAGGUGAUGAUGGUGGUGAUGUUGAUGUUGAUGUGUGGUAGAGGAUGAAUGUGAGGGAAAGGUAAGUGAGGAUGGAGAGAUACGUAACUAUUAUUUAUUGAAAAUUAAUUCUUUAAAUACUUUAAAAUGUAAAAUUAUUAAAUAAAAAUUCAUUCUAUUGUUGUUAAUUCACAAAAUUUUAAUUCAAUUAUAACAUUUCUACUUAUUUUUUUAAGUUAAAUUAUAUCUUUUUUAUUUUUUUUUCUAAAUUAAACUAAUUUUUCUAUUCUUCUAUUGUCUAAAGUUUUUCGACAUAGUUUUAUUUCAAAAUAGAUAAAACAAGCACAAAAAAAAGUGAUGAAUAAAAGAAUAUAUUAAAAAGAAAUAAGAACAAAUAACAACACAACUAAUUAAGAGAAUAAUAAAAAGAUAAAAUCAUAAAUUUGAGAUGAAAUCAUAAAUUAACUUAUAUUUAUAUUAAGGCUAUUGUUUGAAAAUUUGAGUAACGACCAAUAGUCAUAGAAAAUAGAGAAAACUAUUAGAUUUUUUCUUUUUCUUCUAUAGUAAAAAGUAGAGGAAGCAAGAUUUUUUCCCCUCUCUCUCUUUCUUUCUCUCAAACACCAAGAUGUCUUCAUUAUUGGAGGAAAAAUUUAAUGGAUAAGUAAUAAAAUGUAGGGCUUUUAUAGAGGUUCAAAAUAAAUAUAAAACUUUUGAAAUAUAACUUAUUAAUUUUAACAAUGAAAUAGAUAAUUUUUAGGAUUGAAACGAUUAAUUUAUUGGUUUUGUAGAAAUUAAAACAAUUAAGUACUACAUUAAAUACACUUUAUAGGAAUUUGAUAGUUUAUUUAGAAAAAAGAUAAUUACAAAAUAAUAAUAAAUUAAAUGAAUAAUAAUGACUUUUAAAUUCAUUUUCCUCUUUUAUAUACAAAAUAAUCAUCUCAUAGGACUUUUAUAUAAAGUGGAGUUCUAUGCAACUGCCUAAGUUGCCUAGAGGUCGAGCCGCUACUGAUUACAAGCCAAUAUUGGAGUGUUGAGGUAACUAGAUAUGAAGCCAUGGCUGGUUUUUGGGGGAGAAAGAUUUGGAAGAGAUUAUGUUGAGAGGAACGGGGGAGUUCAUAAAGUUUUAGGAUAAUGUGGAGGGUAUUUUGGACAUAUUACCGUCUUAGCUUAAAUUUUGGGAAAAAGAUAAUCAAUAAUAAACUAUUUUUUCAUAUCAAUUUAAAACUCCGAGUGUGUCUCCAAAAAUUGUUUUCUUUUUUUUAUUAUUUUGGAUUUUAAAUCUUAAAUUUAGUAAAGGAAGUUAAAUCAAGUGAUCACUUUUUUUUUUCAUGCAAAGCAAUUAAUCUUUUUUGUAAUUUAAGCAAAUAUUGGGUUGCGUACUUUAACAAUAUUAAUAUUUGAUUCGAAAUUUCAUCUACCGAAACUACAAAAAUUAUUAUUUUCUAUUAAAUCAAAAACAAAAUUAAGAAAUAACUUAUUAUCUGCCAACUGUCAUUCAACAAAGCCAUCACUCAUGCAAAAAAGGGAAAAAAAAAGUGAUAUAUUCAUUUUAACGUAAUUUCAUACCAACAUAUCAUCCUUUUCUUUUGAACAAUGACCUCUUCAAUAAUAAAAUAUGGUAAAAGAGGAUGGGUUUCAGGUCUGGCGUCCGGGCCUUGGUGACAAUGGCAUCUUCUGCUCAAUCAAACUUGUGGAUUACGUGCACUCAACGUCGACAAUAUGGAAAUGGGAGAAAAUUAUGUUGAGUAACAUCUUGUAUGGUCAACGCGUCGAGUAUGGACUUGCAUGAUCGAGUCAGUACAACUAAAGUCGGGUAGAGUUUGGUAAAUCUCUAUAUUGGCUUGAGGUUGGACAACUAUACCUUUUAAGCUACAUAUUUAAACAAUUUUAGUAAAUAUUUACUAUUUUGAUUUAAAAAUUAAUUUGAUUUGAUCUCAUAUUUUAUUAUUAAAAAAUUUAUAAUAUCUUUAAUAAUUUUAUUAAAUUAUUAUUUAAAAGUCAUACAUUUACUGCACAUUAUCAACUUUCUGCUAUUUUUUUUGUUCUCACAACAGCUAGUAAUAUCAAACAAGAGCUAAGUUAAGUAUGAUCAAUUAAUUAAAGUUUUGAUUUUUUGUAUAAAAUAAUCCUUAGAUAAUUAGUCUAUAUAGAAUAUUGGCUACUUCAAAUGGAAACUUGUGAUCAAAAGUGUAAUUCCCUCUAUCAGUGAACUAUACUUGCCAGGAAAUUAACCCCAGGCGAGUACCACCACCUCCUACUAUUUCUUAGGUGUCUCAGAGUUUGAUGAGGACUUCCAUGACGUGUCUCUUCGACAGGCAGCGAAAUUGGGCAAUUGACUACAUUAACUCCAACAAAUUUAUGCAGUCACCUUCCUCCGGACUAUCCUCUUUCUUCGCGCUUUAGUUGCCCUUAUUUCCCCUUUAAUACAGUCAACAUUAUCUUGUUUGAUGCCAAGGAGACCAAGCCCAGAAACAAUGGCAUUCUUUGAUAUCAACCACCUGGGGACUUUUGAGCUGAGCCAUGACAUCCUGAGAUGGCCUGUUGUGUAAGCCUUCUUCAAAAGGUCAUCCGUUAAUCUUUCUCCUAAUUAGACAUUCAAAACCCUGCAUGGAAUCGAUUUGAGAAGUUGGACAAUAGACAAACUCCAACACAUAUAGACAGUAAAGAAGAAUUUAGACCGCAAUCACUGUGGCUCAACAAAUGGGCCUAUUAAAGCCUAUUAAAAGUUGGAACCAUAUUCACCACUCGCAUUUCCUUAAGAGAGCUAUACCAGAAUUCUGUAAAUUUAAAACUUUUCUUACAUAAUUAACUGUAAAACAAGAGAAAUUGUACUUCCGUAGCAAAGUCUCACUAUUGGUAAGUAUCUGGACUUGGAAAGGAUGCUAGUUGAUGAAGUAAAGGAAAAUUGAAAUCAGACUUUGAGGUGACAGAUCUAUACACUUCAAUAGGAACCACAUUGACAUCAUAUGAGACAAAUAAACAUUCCCCAGUCAAAGUUUAACAAACAAAACAUUAAAACAAGAGUAGGUUGGUCUAUCAAUGUAUAUAUAGACAUGUCGAUCAAUAGACAAAUACGUAAAAGAGGGAGGGAGAGACCUCAAAGCCGUGCUACUCCAAUAACUUCAAAAUUGUUCGUGACCACUCUAUCAAAUCCACGCAAUAGUUGCAUACACUCACCGAUGGGUUUGUCACAGAUAACCUGUUAGGCAUUAAAAAUUGCCCAAAUUAAACAAAUGUUAGACCAGCUUAGACAGUAAACGGAACAAUAUUCUAAUUUUACUUUAUUUAUAACGAAUAAGUGAACAAAGGAAUAAAAAGGAAUUUUGGCAAAGAAUCCUGCAGCUAAUCCCACCAUACACCGCUCUGCAGGCUUAUUUGGGAGUCAAAAUUCUCAAAAUGUACUAAGAAAUGACAUUUGUUCACUAAUCCCACCAACAAGGAGGAAGUGACGUGAAGAGAAUUUACUAAGAAAUGCCAGUGUAUUAAUAUUGAAGGAAAACAUUCACUGACGACCAAAAUCGCUGAUAUAUGCUUAAUUUCUCACUCACUAAGAACGUUCAAUUCAUUCAAAUGAAACUUCCACAGGAAGGUCUCAUUAUUAAGGCUUUAGCUUCACCUCACAUGCUCAACAAUUCAAAUUUGAGGAUGAUAUUUCUCCAAAUGGAGGGCUCUAUUUGGCUUGCCAACAAUCUUCCUCACAACUAUCAUCCUUGCUAUAUCGGUUGCACUGAGCAAUCUUCAUUCUGACAUUUGCCCUAUUAACCUGAGUACACAAGAAUCCGAAACAACUGUUAGAAAUUUUAAUCUUUAUAUACAGCCAAAAUGGUGAAUAAGAUGAUGUACUGAUAAUAAAUACCUGAGUUAAUAAAUAAUUAAGGGGCCGGUAACAAUCUCAGCAUCUUAUCAAGUGGGGAAAGCCUUCGCAACGAAGAUGCUGCUUGCUUUCAAGCAAUAAUAACUUUCCAAUUCCAUAAGAUAGCUUAAUGCCCUUUUAAGAAUAUCUCCACCAGCCUAACAAUUAUUCAUGGAAAUCCAAUUUGCAUUUGUCGCCUUCAAUUUUCUCAUCUUUGUCUAGAGUAUUGUUUUUGCAUUAACUUAGCUAGCUUGCAAACCACCUGCAGAUGGUUUUAAAUAAUGUGUGAGAGUGUGAAUUCAAACGAAUUAAUUAAAUAUGAUGACAGGAGAAACAAAAUUAAAAUAACCACAAGAAGUAGAAAUAUACUUUUGUUAUAUUCAGAGCAUCUCCUACUGUCUUCAUUUCCCUUAGCUCUGUUUCCUUUUGAGCUCGAACGCAAUGCCUCAAGGCUCAAGAUAAUUUGAUGACCAUCAAUCUUUUUGCAGCCACAUGUAGACUUGAAAAACUGUUGGCGGCCCUAAAGAACUUGAAAAUUAGAAAAGAUUCAGAAUGAGUGACUAAAUAUUAUAAUCAAAACUAAUUAAACAAACGCGCCUUGAAAAUCUGAAACUGAAUUAAUCAAAUGUAUAUGCCCCUUCACUGCAAUUGCACGUGGUGGAAAUUUUACUGCGAAGACUUUCUCAAACCUUGAAGAUCACACUCGGCCUGACAACAAAGAAACAAAGUCAAUAUACGAAGAUGAUUUUACUAACAAGUGAGAGCUUACAAAUAUUUGAAGGAUAACGAUCACUCAUAACCCAUAUCCCCAGUAUUCCCUAAUAUUUCACUCAAGUGGGUUCAAGCUCCCAAAAUUCACUACAGUGAAAUGUCAAAACAAAACUCUCUUCUCAAAUUUGAUGAUGAUAUCUCUCGAAGGGAGGCAAAAGAAUCUAACACUGAUCAAAUUGGCUUGUGAACAAUUAAUCUUCCUCGCCAUCAUUCAUACCAGGUGCGGUGAACAAUCUUCAUUCUGACAUUUGCCUUAAUAAGCUGCUUAGUAACCUUAACCUGAUAACUCACACAAACAAAAACAACUUGCCUAAAGUUUAAUAUUUCGAGCAGAACAGUAAAGAAGAUGAUAUCUAUUGAUGCUAAAAUUUGACCUGUGUUACCCUGAUGUCAAAAGUCAUAGCAUCUCAUGUGGGCAAAAUCUUCGCAACACGAGAUGCUUGCAAAAUUGGAGCAGCAUCUUAUCACCUGUAAUUUAAUUGAGACAAUAACUUUCCCCAACCAUUUCAAUGCAUUAUUGGCAACUAAAUUCAGAGGGUGCUAAUUAAAUACCCUUUUAACAAUAUCUUCUUAUUCUUCUUCAAUCUAACAAUUAUUUGGAAAAUCUAAAUGACAAUCAUGCAUCGAUGGCAUGAAAAUUUGGCUACAAAGUAGCCUGGAAAAGGCUGCUCUCUGAAUGAGAGCAUGAAUUCAAACAAAUAUGAUGAAUGAAUAAAUAAAGGCAUAAUACCACAAGAAGUAAAACUUUUCCCCAGAUUUCUGUUUCUGUUUGUGCUAAAACCAAUGGAAACCGAUGGAAAUGAAUUUCUACGAAUUAGACAUAUCAGCCAAAACAGGUACUCCGUACAAGCAAAGUAAAAGAGGGUUACAAAAAAUUUUAAUAUUGAUAUGAUAAUUAAAAUUAUAAUGAAAAUUUCAGUUACCAUAUAAUUAAUAGAUAACUCUGUACACAAUGAUUUAUUGCAUAUUAAGAUUGUAUACCUGAAUUUUAAUUGCUAUACAAAAUAUGGUAGUAUCAUUAGGAGACCGCACCAAAUGUACCGAAUUGAAUGUGCCUUUUCACAGCCAUUGUACAAGCUUUGAAGCUUUACCACAAAUGCUUUCUCAAACCCGUGAUCAUGAUGCACCCGAGAGAUGCAAGAUAUGAAAUUGUUACUACAGCAGGCAAUAACCACAGUGUUAAAACAAAUGUUUAUACAGGAUAAAUGAUUCCAAGAAUGAAACAAGAUAGCAAUGAUGAUCUCAGCACCUUAACAUCACGCAAUAAUAAUCAUCAUGUCUUUCAAGCAGCUAUCCAUCCUCAAUUGAAACAGAGCAGAUCCGGCCAUCACUUCCUUCUUCAAAGUCCAGCAACCAAACGUUGCACAAUAACCACAGUGAUAAUCCUUGGUUACCCCAAUGUUCUCCAUAGAGUCUCCAAAGUCAAUCUAAAAAUGAAAUGCAGGUGGAAAUCAAAAUUCUAUUAACUAAAUAAAAUAUAAAGUGCAAUGCUUGUGCUUGAGCUUGCUUUAACAUCAUCAUAAUAGCGAAUUUUGAUACACCUUUACUUCUCUGUGGUUCAAUCAUUUACUUCCCUGUUCUUGUUUAUUCACAACAAGAUAUCAAUAGAAGAUGAUGGAAAUGAAAUUCUAUAAAAUAAAGCAAGUGAAUUACCAGUAGACCAUUUUAGCAAUCCUUUGGCUAAACUUUUCAUUUUCUUAGCACACUGUCCUGCAGUACUGCCUGCAUCAUUAAAACCAAAUUAGAUUGGACCUGUGAAUUGCUAGUGUGGUUCUGACAUUUCCUCGAAUCCCUGGUGAACAUAAUUAAACUCGUAUGAAAUAAAACAAAGUGGGCUAAUGUACUACUAAAAACAAUUACACAAUUACUUUAAAGAAUUAAUGUCACAUAAAUUAUAUAUAAAAAAAUACGAUUAUCAUUAUACAAGAUAAAAUUGAUAAUUUAGUUUUCGACAUUACUGCAAAUGUAUGAAGGAGAUUUUGUCACUCAGGAAGUUACACAUAACAAAUUUCCGUACAUUAAAAAAUAAAUUACAUUGGGAUUUUCUAUGAUGUUGUAUGAAAUUUUACAAAAAAGCACAUAUUUUUUAAAAGUAAAUAAAUAUAGAAAUUUCAACAGACUAAACUUGUAUUUUUUUUUUAUUUAAUCUUUAGAAAACAAGUUUAACAUAUUUGAUAACUAGGAAGUUUUACAUAUUUAUACCAUGAUUGAUUCUAUAUAGAAUUAUUAAAUAAUAAAGUAAUGCCAUAAUCUAAUUGGUCUUGUUAUUGACAUGUACUCACGCAUUCUAUAUUUCUAACUUUGUACAUUUUAUUGAUAUGUACAAAUUGUCAAUGUUUGCAGUGUCGUUGUUUGAAGUAACAACAAAGUAAAAUAGAGGUGAGAAAUUACCGGUGGGUGAUAGUAAUUGCAACCAUUCGAGAAUUUACCACUCGGACUCGAUGUAGGGAAUGUGAGAUAUCUUAUGCCAGUCUUCUCCUUCCCCCUCUCUAUAACGGUUUUCCAGAAGAGGACAUCUGUGAAUAAUCAAUUCCUGCAGCGUCGUCGUCCGAAGAAGGUAAUCCGGCAGCACCUUUAAUUUGGGGCAAUACCCAAUUUCCAAGGAAGAAAGACGUGGUAUGUCUGUUGUCUUGCGAUCUUCUAGAAUGGGCAGUUCUUCUAGAAGAUCACAAAAAUAAAUACGCAGUUCCUGCAGUGCCGUCGAUUGAAGAAGGUAAUCCGGCAGCGCCUUCAAUUUGGGGCAACCUCUAAUCCACAAGGAAGAAAGACGGGGCAUGAUGGAGAUGUUUUCCUUCCUCGUAAUCCUGUAAUUCCACUCUUCCAACUCUUCCAUUCCCCCAAUGUCGAGUGAUUUUAAUUUGGGAAAGGCAGUAACUGAUGAUGACGAUGAAGAUGAAGAUGGGUCAUCCUCACUGCUUUCUUCUAUUCCCAAAAACUCAUUACCCACUCUUUUUACACUUUUCAAAAUGUAUAGUUGGAGUUUUUCCAGAGGUAAUUUUCCCAAAGGAGGCAAAUGCUCACAGUUAAAACAAAACCAAAGAUUUAAUUCCCUUAGAUAGGUUAGUGAAGUCAACCAUUUGGGAAAAAUGUCGCCUCCGUAGAAACAAAUCUGUAAUUCCUCUACAUUCAAAUGCGGUUGUAAAGCUUCAAGAAGUUGUUUAUCUUUCUCAUUCUUCCUCCUCCCUUCUUCGCCUUCCCCAUCUACGACUCCAUCAAACACAAGAUGCAAACGAAGGAGGUUUUCCAUAUUGUGAAGUCCUAUUCUCUCAGCCUCAUCUAAAUGUGAUACAUUACUCAGCCCUUCUAUUCCACAUUUACGAAGGAGUUGAAGAUUUUUCAGAGAUUCAAGCCUACACGUGCUGCCGCCAUCAACACCUCCACCCACAACAAACUUUUCUAAUGUUCGAAGACUGGUUAAUUUGGAAAUCCCUAUUGGCAUGUACUUCAAUGAAUAAGUUUGACCAUUCAGUAAACUCCUCAUGUUCAUUAACUUCCCAAUCCCCGCUGGCAAUUCUCUAAGAUUUGGGCACCGCCUAAUAUCUAGCUUUCGUAAAUUAUAUAAUUCACACAAAGUCUCAGGCAGUCUCUCUAUACAUAAUUCAGAUAAAUUAAGAUAUUUUAAAUGUAUCAAUUUUCCAAUAUUUUCUGGAAUUUCUCUAAUGAAAUUUGGGCUAGGAUGAGAAAAUGAGGACAACUGUCUUAUAACUAAUGCCCUUAAACACGCCAAUUUACUAAAUAACCCCGGAAGGAUGCUACUACGAAGAGACGGACCUUUAUCAUAAAUUAAGAGGGUCCGCAAUCUAUUAAGUCCAUAAAUGGACAUAGGAAGUGGAGCGCCUCCUUCAAAAUUUAAUCCUAGGUGACAGACUUUGUCACCAAAAGAAUUUAUGACUGACUCUUUGUUACCAUCAAUUUCUAGCCACAAACAUUCUUUUCUACUUACAAAUUGGGCAAAAUCAUGUACUAUGUCAUGCAUUUUACACCUCAUAAACUCAUUAUCGCCACCGUAUGUUUCAAACUCUUGAAAGAAAGAGUGUGUUGCUAAGAUGUUGAAAUACUCUUCUCCAACCAUCUCCAUUUCUUCGUCUUCUUCUGCAUUAAGGUAACCUUGAGCCAUCCACAUAUCAAUCAAUUCCUUUUUAUGCAUAUAGUGGUCUUUUGGAAAGACAGCACAAUAUGAGAAACAUUGUUUUACCAUAGAAUUAGAGGGCAAAUCGUUAUAACUCAACAACAAAGGAGCCAAAAGACCUUUCCUAAUCUCUUCUACCUUCCACAUUUCACUCUCUAAAAUUCUUUGCCACUCUUUUACUGUACAUUUAGAGCGCAAGAGAUUCCCUAUUACCUUUACAGCAAGAGGCAGGCCUUUGCACUUGCGUGCAAUUUUUCGUCCGAUUGGUUCUAAUUUUUCACAAUCCUCGAAAGAGCGACCGAAAAAUGCCAACCGCUUGAACAACAACCAGCAUUCCUCUUCAGCUAGUUGUUCAAUGGAGAUAAUAUCUAACUCUAUUGUUCGCAUCAUACGUGCAACUGACUCAUUACGUGUGGUAACCACAAUUUUACUUCCAGGAAGACCAUUCUUUAGACAAAAGAAGAAUUGAUCCCAUAUAUUAUAAUUCCCAUCCCAUACAUCAUCUAAGACAAUAAAAAUUUUUUUUCCUUCAAUUGAUCUAUGGAUAUGGCUCAUAAGAGAUUGGAAUUCGCUUAAACCAGAAGCUUCUUUUGACUCGCCUAGUCCUUCAAUAAUUGCUUUGGCGACCCUCAUCUCAUCAAAAGUGUCUGAUACACACACCCAUAUAACUUUUUCAAAAUUUAUUUUCACCCCAUCAUUAUUAUAGGCUAGUUGUGCAAGAGUGGUUUUACCUAUACCCCCUAACCCAACCAGUGAGAUGAUAUGAGGAUGUUGUUCGCCACUCUCACCCAACAACUUACCUAACAGCUCAUUUUUCUCGUCAUCUCUACCAAAAAUCUCUCCCUCAUCAAUCAAGGAGGUGGUUGGCACUCGCUCUGAUUUCUUAACAUUGUUACUCACAUUCUCAACAAAUUUAAACAUAUCUUUUCGAGUGGCAAUACCAUCUAGCUUUUCACUGAUUUCGCUAAUCUUGACAGCAACAUCAUCACGAAGAAUGAGUUGUUUGAAACCACCUAAGUAGUUUGAGGCAGCACGAAAGAAGGAACAUACCUUCUUCUUAGGAGGAGCAAGAGCAAGAGCAUCGUCAUCAUCGCCGCCCUCAUCAAGCUGCAAUUUCCGUGUUUCAGUGAUCCACUCUUCCAACACAUCUUCCAUGUCGUAGGAUGCGUCUCUGAGCUGAUCCAGCCAAAGAGUAACAGCUUUGUCCUGCUUCAUUUGCCUCUGCUCUGCAUCUUACAGUACAGCUUGAAUGACUUGAAGAUUGGUAGUAAGCUUUCCCACUUCUUGUUCGACACCCGUCACAAGCCUCCACUUUUCUUUCACCUGAUCUUGAGCAAUGGAUUUCAGCUGGUCCAGGAGAGAGGAAACGAUCGCAUGAGCCAUUCAGAGGAAAGUAGGUUUUAUGUAUUCUGUGAGAAUGUUCAUUCAAGCAUGUUUGCAUUCUUCUUAUACCAUAUGAGAUAUUUAAUUUUUACCCUCGAGUCAAUGUCAAUAAUUGUACAGCGUCUGCCCUGUUUCUCUGAUUCAUAAUAAUUCAUUGUUAAUUCUGCAGAGUACACAGCGUCAGCACUUGUGAAAUUUCUUACAUUUGUAAAAUCAUGCAGCCGACCCUUGUGAACUAACUAAUUAACUAAAUUUUCUUACAUUGUCAAUAAGUUAUGAUUAUUGUGAAUUUUCCAUCCCCUAUAUAAAUUCUUAGAUUUAUUUAAAUUGUGAGUCAUAGAAGUAUAUUACCUAAAUUAUUUUAUCAGGCCAUGUUCCGAUACUAGGAGUAAGUACGGAAUUGGACUAAUUUUGUGAUUAUCUAUUUAUCUCAUAUUUGAUAAGCUUAAUUGAAUUGGAUUUAGGAACCAAAUUUAAAUUUAAUCCUAAAAUUAUGGAAUUGAUAAUCCUAAUUUACGCAUAACUUUAGUUGGGAUAAAAUUAAAGAAAAAAAGUUAUCCAUUUAUGAGACUUUAAUUUAUAUCAUUAUCGUUUAUUUAUGCUUAAUAUUUAUUUAUUUUUUUUAAUUUAUGAUUUACUUAAAAUUUAUUUUUAUUUAUUAUCUAUCAUCUGAUUAAAUUAGAACUUUACUUCUACUAACUCUUGAUAUUAAUUUUUCAUUACUUGCAUAUUUGAUAAUUUGUCAAUAAAAUUAACCAUUUAAUAAUUUAUUGCAUAAUAGAUUGUAUUAAACUUACUAAUCACUAAAAAAAUAUUUAAAAUCAUCAUGAAAAUUAAUAAUACCGUCAAUUAAUUGAUUUUAUAUACUUUUUUAAAUAUUUGAUAAAAAAUAAUUAAGUAUUUAAAUUUUUAUUUCAUUUUUUUAUUUGUUUAUUUUAUUAUGGAUACCCAAUAACUUGCAAUAUAAUUAAUUUUCUUAUUCAGACUACUCAGCAUCAGCUCCUAUAAAAUUUCUUACAUUAUAAGCAACAAAAUAUUUAUAAACUACAACAAAGGGCUUAAAUCAAUCCACCGAUUAACCUUUUGAAGUUAUAUAUAAUAUAUUAACUGUUGAUCUAGAAUAGUCUUAGUGGAUAGAUUUUUUUUAAUUAUAAAUAUCAAUAAAUUUUUUUUAUCGUUUAAUAGAUAUUGAUGAAAUUAUAUGGAGUAAUUUCGCCCAAUCAUAUAUAUUAUAACAAAAGUUGGAAAAGAGAAAAAUAAAACAAAAGUUGGAAAAAUCAUGCAGUCGUUGGGAAUUUCGAAAUUUGAGAAUUUUGCCCGUAGCUACAGGCUGCAGCGAUUUUUGACUUUCAUGAUGCAAACAAACCAAUCAUCAUUAAUUUCAAUAGAAAGAAGUAUUCUAGGUGGAAUUGAUUUCUGGAGCAGAAUAUGAUGUAUUUGGGACUUCCUACUCUAUUAGAUAGGUUAAUAACAUGUUAAUUGUCACAUCAUUAAUUUUAGAUUAUAAAUUUUAUAUUCAAACUUUGUAUGACUGCUCCUUUUUCAUUUGAAAAAAAAAAAAAAAAUUAACUUCUAGCAUGAUCUAAUUAAUUGAUCUUGUUUCAAAAGAAUCAAAAAAAUAAAUAAAAUAAAAUAAAGUAAUGCCAUAAUCUAAUUGGUCUUGUUAUUGACAUGUACUAAUGCAUUCUAUAUUUCUAACUUUGUACAUUUUAUUGAUAUGUUUCUCUUGAGAGAUAAGAAUCAUUAUGUGGCAAAAUUUUAUUAAAGCUGGGAUUAUUUAUGUUCUAAUACUUUGAACAUUAAUUUUUAAUCUACUCUUUAGAAUACAAAAAUAAUCCUUACCUAAACAUCUUUCAUAAAUGUUUUUUGCUGGGGCUGCUAAAAUUCAUAAUCUAAUAUUAGUUGAUGUGGCAUGUGUCCUAUCACAUAAAUGUAGAUAAUAAUAAUUAAUUCAUUAACAAAAUGAAAAAUGUUAGUUUACAAAAUACAAAUCCGAAUUUUUUGUGUGUUAGAGGGAAUUUAAAAGGGAGAGACUAAACAAAUGUGGUGACAAAUUACACGUAUUACCAAAAUUGAAAAUACAAAGUUUAGGCAACUGGAAACAUCUCUGUCAAUGGCAAUGAACCCAUUACCUCCAUUUAUAAUUAACCAAAAAUCAAAUAAAUUAAAAAAGAAAACACAAAGCAAGGAUAACUACUAGUUGUUUUGAUCAUCCCUGCUUCUUUUUCUUAGCAUAGCUCUUGUAAUGAAAAUUAACAAAAAGGGCCAAAAGGGAAGCAUUAAACACAGUAUUGAAGCACCAACCCCAAAACACAGGGAAACCAAAUCCCGUGAAAUGAUAAUUCAGCAUCAAAAUGAAAAAUGUUAUGGAUGGCUGUGAUGGGUCUGAGGAUGUGGGGUCCAAUGAGAGGUGAUGAUGAUGGUGAUGUUGAUGUUGAUGUGUGGUAGAGGAUGGAUGUGAGGGAGAGGUAAGUAAUGAUGGAGUGAAUGAGGAUGCGUGGGAAGGAAGCUAGGGUUUGGUUUUGAGUCCAUGUGAAGUUGAGGACUUGUGGGUGGCUUACAAGCAAUAUUGGAGUGUUAAGCUGAUUGAAUUUGAACAGUGCUACUCCAAUAACAUCAAUAUGGUUGAUGACCGCUCUAUCAAAUCCUUUGGAUAAAUGAAUUGACCGCUCUAAAAUAAAUGAAUGAGAUAGGAUAAAUUCGAAUAAAUUAAUCUGCAUAAUGACACAAGAAACAAAUAUAAAUUGACCGCAAGUAGAAAUAUACUUUUGUUAUAUUUAGAGCAUCUUCCAAUUUCUUUCCCUUGAGCUCUGUUUCUGCGAGUGCUCAAAAGCAAGACACAGGCCUCAAGAUAUAAUUAUCAUCAUCAAUCUUUUGCAGCCACAUGCAGUACUUGGAAAAUGUUUAUGGCCCUAAAUAACUGGAAAAUCAGAAAACAUUAAGAACAAGAGACUAAUCAUUUUAAUCGCAACAAAACAUGCACACUAUGAAAAUAUAAAAUUGAAUUACUUCGAAUGGAUGUGCCUCUUAACAGGAAUUGCACAAGCUAAUGAGCAAGUGAGCCUUCGAAUGAAAAUCUAAAUCCUUGCAGCCUGCGUCAUGCAGCUUCUCCCAAUGAGUAAGUGAACCUUGAACAGUUAUCACUCAGCUCAAACUAAAAUGAAAUUACUGUGGACAUGUGAAUUAAAAAUAGAUGUAAAAGUAGUUUUCUCAAAGCAAAGUCAAGAUAAGAGAUUAACUCUACUCCUUAUUUACAUUAAAAAUAACGAACAAUGGAAAACAGAGCUAGAGAAGAACUUACCUGUGCGUUGAGAUCAUGUGGGGAAUGUGAGAUAUCUUCUUAGAUUUGGUUUGGGAAACUCCAUCUUCUUCUGAAAGUUCUGACAGUUCCCUAAACCCAGGCCAAUACAAUUGCAACAGAAACUGCAUGCUUUAACCAGUAUCUGAUCAUCUCCUGUUAUUUCAAGACAAUAAUAACUUAAUUGCAACACUGCAUGCUUCAACCAAUAACCUUUUCGACUUCAACACUUCUUUUGUCCCCCACCCGAUGCCCUUUUCACAAUUCUAUGAAUCAGAUAAAUCAGCCUUCUUCACAAAACUAAAAUUUCGGUCCCCAUGUAGCAGAGUUUCUUAUUUUUCCUUUGUACACAAAUGCAGACACUUAAGCAAAUUAAGAUUUCUUACCUAAAGCAAAUUAGGAUUUCUUUUGAUCCUGCAAGUUACAAUUUCAGUCCCCAUGUAAUAGUAAAAAUUUGUACACAUAUUUAUAUAGCAAAUUAAUAUUUCAUACCUCACAAUAUUUAUCAUAACCAUCAAUCUUUAGAAACCACAUGCAGACUUGUUAAACUGUUUAUGGCCCAAAAUAACAGGAAAAUUAGAACAGAUUUUUAAGAAUGAGCGACUAAAUAUUUCAAUGGCAACUAAAAUUACACAUCUUGGAAAUCUGAAACUCAAGUACUCAGAACACUGUAAGUGCAUUGCAUAAUCUUGGGUAAAAAAUACACAGCAAUUAAACAAGCUGGGAACUUUAGUGCAAAUGCUUUUUCAUAAUCUUCAAUUGCAUAAGUCAGUUAGAAUCAAUCUUUCUUAAUCUUUCAAUUCACAUAUGAGAGCCUGAUAACACAAGGAAACACUGUAAGUGAAUUGUCAACUGUGACAAAUUUUGGGUAAAAAUUAUCAACUGUAGUUAUCUGCAUAACAUUUAGUGUCAACCCCAAAUUCCUUCCUGAUCCGUGGAAGCAUUUCAGCCCACAGACGGUUAGCUUUGUCAAUAUACGGCAACUCAGGAUUCUAUAUUUAAACUAUGAUGUUUGAUGACUUGCUGAUACAAAAGACAUUGCCCCAAGCACUUUUUUACAUUAGCUAAAAUCAAGCCAGUCACUUCCAUUUGUUGCAGUUUUAAUGCAGAAAGAAAAAAGGGGGAAAAAAAUCUGCAAGAUGCCACUUGUAAUACCGCAUGUUCGCAGGAGCAGAGUUAAAUAAUUACAAAAUUACAUUCUUUAUUGGCCACAAAGCUGCCUAGAAAAAGGCUUUAAAUUCUUAAUGAGACAACGUAUUCGAACAAAUAUGGUGAAUGAAGAGACAAAGGCAUAACACCUCGGGAAGUAAAGCUCUGUUUCUGUAUGUGCUCAAACCAAUGGAAACCCAUGGAAAUGAAUUUCUACGAAUUAGACAUGUCAGCCAAAACAGGUACUCUGUACAAGCAAAGUAAAAGAGAGUUACAAAAAAUUUUAAGAUAAUUAAACUUUUAGUCACCAUAUAAUUAAUAGAAAACUUUGUACACAAUGAUUUAUAUGAGAUUAAGAUUGUAUACCUAAGUUUUAAUUGCAAACUAAAUAUACACAACAUGAUAUUAGCAUUAGAAGACUGCACCAAAACGCACCGAAUUGAAUGUACCUCUUAACGGCCAUUGUACAUGCAUUGAAAGUUUACCGCAAAAGCUGUUUCAAACGUGAUGCAUCUUAGAGAUGCAAGAUGAGAAAUUGUUAUUACAACUAGCAUUGAAACAUGUGUGAAAACUGUUAAUGGACCUAAAUAACUUGAAAAUCAGAAAAGAUUAGGAAUGAGUGACUAAGCCUGCUAAUCGCAACUAAACGUGCAAACCUUGAAAAUCCAAAAUUGUACUCGAUGAAUGUGCAAUUGCUCAAGCAGGUAAAUUUCCUGCAAAGGCUCUUACAAACCCUCAAAGAUGAUACUCUACAUACCAUGGUAACCUGAGUAACAAAAAGAAACACAGUGAAUAUUAAAGGGCAUUCUGACAAUGCAAAUUUGUGUAAAUUAACAACUGCGGUUACCUGCAUAAUAGUGUCAAUACCGAAUUCCUUCCUCCAUGGAAGCAUGUGAUCAGCCCACAUGUGCUUUGCUCUGUAGCUUUUGAAUACCUGAAAUUGUUAUCACAACCAACGGUGAAAAAUGGGUGAAAAAAGGGUAAUAGUAGCAUAAUUGAAUUUGCUUAUAGAGGAUAAACCGAUCAAAGAAAAAAACAAGACAGAAAUGAUGAUCUUAGUACCUUAAUAUCAUGCAAUAAUAAUCAUCAUGCCUUCUAGGCAGCUAUCCAUCCUCAAUUGAAACAGAGCAGACCUGGCCAUCACUUUCUUCUUCAAAGUCCAGCAACUGAACGUUGCACACAACACCACAGUGGAAGUUCCAUCACCAGCCUAAUCCUUGAUUACCCCAAUGUUCUCCAUAGGGUCUUCAAAGUCAACCUAAAAAUAAAAUGAAAAUGCAAUGCAUUAUUAUUAGGGAUCUAGUGCUUGAGCUUGCUUUGACAUCAUGGUAUUAGCAAAUUCUGAUAUAGCCAAAAUGGUGAAUAAGAUGACGUACUUGAUAAGAAAAACCUGAUUUAACAAAUAAUUAAGGAGCCGGUAACAAUCACAGAAUCUCAUCAUGUGGGGAACGCCUUGGCAACAGAAGAUGGUGCUUUCAUUCAAGCAAUAGCAACUUUCCAAUUUCAUAAGGUAGUUUAAUGGCCCUUUUAAGAACAUCUGCACCAGCCUAAUAAUUAUUCAUGGAAAUUAAUAAUCAGAAUCAUGUUAGAUUGAGAGAUGAAACAUAAUAAGCGAUUUGGCCACCAUAUAUGCAUUUAUCACCUUCAAUUUGCUCAUCUUUGUCUAGAGUAUUGCUUCUGCAUUAACUUAAUUAGCUUGCAAGCCACCUGAACAUGGUUUUAAAUAAAGUGUAAGAGCUCGAAUUCGAACGAAUUAAUCAAAUAUGCUGACAGGAGAAACAAAAGUAAAUAACCACAAGAAGUAGAAAUAUACUUUUGUUAUAUUCAGAGCAUCUUCUUGCGUCAAGUUCUUUUCCUUUAGCUCUGUUUCUGUUUGUGCUCAAACGCAAUGGCUCAAGGGCCAAGAUAAUUUUAUGACCAUCAAUCUUUUUGCAGCCACAGCAGACUUGAAAAAAUGAUUGUGGCCCUAAGGAACUUGAAAAUUAGAAAAGAUUCAGAAUGAGUGACUAAAUAUUAUAAUUGAAACUAACUAAACAUUAUAAUCGAAACUAAUUAAACGCCUAGAAAAUCUGAAACUGAGCAAUUGCUUCUGGUGGAAACUUUACUGCAAGGACUUUCUCAAACCCUUGAAGAUCACACUCUACCUGAUAACAAAGAAACAGUCAAUAUACGAAGAUGAUUUUACUAACAAGUGAGUGCUUACACAUAUUGGAAGGAUAAUGAUGAUUCAUAACCCAAAUCCCCAAUACUCCCUAUUAUCUCACUCAAGUUCGAGCUCCCAGAAUUCACUACUGUGAAGCUCUCACAACAAAAUUCCCUUCAAAGAUUCUCUACUCAAAUUUGAUGAUGAUGUCCCUCCAAAGGAGGCAAAAAAUCUAACACUGAUCAAAUUGGUUUGUGAACAAUUAAUCUUCCUGGCCAUCAUGCAUACCAGGUGUGGUGAGCAAUCUUCAUUAUGACAUUUGCCUUAAUAAGCAGCUUAGUUUCCUUAACCUGAUAACUUACACAAACAAAAACAACUUGAUUAAAGUUUAAUAUUUAGAGGCAGAACAGUAAAGAAGAUGAUAUAUAUUGAUACUAAAAUUUGACCUGUGUUAUCCUGACGUCAAGAAUCACAGCAUCUCAUGUGGGCAGAAUCUUCGCAGUACAAUAUGCUUGCAAAAUUGAAGCAGCAUCUUAUCACCUGUAAUUUAAUUAAGACAAUAACUUUCCCCAACCAUUUCAAUGCAUUAUUGCCAACUAAAUUCAGAGGGUGCUAAUUAAAUAGCCUUUGAACAAUAUAUUCUUAUUCUUCUCCAAUCUAACAAUUAUUUCGAAAAUCUAAAUGACAAUCACGCAUCGAUGGCAUCAAAAUUUGGCUACAAAGCAGCCUGGAAAAGGCUUUACUCUCUGAAUGAGAGCAUGAAUUCGAAACAAAUAUGAUGAAUGAAGAAAAUAAGGCAUAAUACCACCAAAAGUAAAACUUUCUCCCAGGGCUCUAUGUUUCUGUUUGUGCUAAAACCAAUAGAAACCGAUGGAAAUGAAUUUCUAGGAAUUAGACAUAUCAGCGAAAACAGGUAUUCUGUACAAGCAAAGUAAAAUAGGGUUACCAAAAUUUUUAAGAUUGAUAUGAUACUUGAAAAAUAGGUUUGCACAGAAUUAAUUAUUCUGUCAUUGAGAUUGUUCUUUUAUAGAGAUUUCCAGCGCACAUAAAACUAUUAAAUCAGUAAACUAAAUCACUGAUUUAAGGAAAGAAUAAUUUCUAGGUAGAUUUUCCUAAAAUACAUAGAUUUGCACCUAAAUAGCUAUGUUACAGCUAAUGACUAAUUUACAGCACAUAUUUUUUCUAAUUUUCUAACACUCCCCCUCGAGCUGGUUUGAAGAUAUCCUCCAUAGCCAGCUUGCCAACUAGAAAAUUGAACUGUUUUGUGUGUAGUCCUUUGGUAAAGACAUCAGCCACUUGUUCUCCAGUAGGAAUGUGCUCCAUAUGAACCAAUCCAUUAUCUAUCUUCUCCUUGAUGAAAUGCUUGUCAAUCUCCACAUGUUUUGUGCGGUCAUGAAGGACUGGAUUGUGUGCUAUUGAGAUUGCUGCCUUGUUGUCACAGUACAACUACAUAGGAGAUGAUUUUGUCGCUUUUAACUCUUCCAACAGCCUCCUAAUCCACAUGAUCUCACAAAUGCCAUGGGUUACAGCUCUAAAUUCAGCCUCAGCACUGCUCCUAGCUACCACAUUCUGUUUCUUGCUUCUCCAAGUAACCAAAUUACCACCUACAAAUGAACAGUAUCCAGAAGUGGAUCUUCGGUCUACUUUGCAGGUAAAUUUACUGCAAAGGCUCUUACAAGCCCUCAAAGAUGAUAUUCUACAUACCAUGGUAACCUGACUAACAAAAAGAAACACAGUGAAUAUUAAAGGGCAUUCUGACAAUGCAAAUUUGUGCAAAUUAACAACUGCGGUUACCUGCAUAAUAGUGUCAAUACCGAGUUCCUUCCUCCAUGGAAGCAUAUGAUCAGCCCACAUGUGCUUUGCUCUGUAGCUUUUGAGUACCUGAAAUUGUUAUUACAACCAGCGGUGAAAAUUGGGUGAAAAAAUGGUAAUAUUAGCAUAAUUGAAUUUGCUUAUAGAGGAUAAACCGAUCAAAGAAAACGACAAGAUAGAAAUGAUUAUCUUAGUACCUUAAUAUCAUGCAAUAAAAAUCAUCAUGCCUUCCAGGCAGCUAUCCAUCCUCAAUUGAAACAGAGCAGACCUGGCCAUCACUUUCUUCUUCAAAGUCCAGCAACUGAACGUUGCACACAACACCACAGUGGAAGUAGUUCCAUCACCAGCCUAAUCCUUGAUUACCCCAAUGUUCUCCAUAGGGUCUUCAAAGUCAACCUAAAAAUAAAAUGAAAAUGCAAUGCAUUAUUAUUAGGGAUCUAGUGCUUGAGCUUGCUUUGACAUCAUGGUAUUAGCAAAUUCUGAUAUAGCCAAAAUGGUGAAUAAGAUGAUGUACUUGAUAAGAAAAACCUGAUUUAACAAAUAAUUAAGAAGCCGGUAACAAUCACAUAAUCUCAUCAUGUGGGGAAUGCCUUGGCAACAGAAGAUGGUGCUUUCAUUCAAGCAAUAGCAACUUUCCAAUUUCAUAAGGUAGUUUAAUGGCCCUUUUAAGAACAUCUGUACCAGCCUAACAAUUAUUCAUGGAAAUUAAAAUUCAGAAUCAUAUUAGAUUGAGAGAUGAAAUAUAAUAAGCGAUUUGGCCACCAUAUAUGCAUUUAUCACCUUCAAUUUGCUCAUCUUUGUCUGGAGUAUUGCUUCUGCAUUAACUUAAUUAGCUUGCAAGCCACCUACAAAUGGUUUUAAAUAAUGUGUGAGAGUGUGAAUUCGAACGAAUUAAUCAAAUAUGCUGACAGGAGAAACAAAAGUAAAUAACCACAAGAAGUAGAAAUAUACUUUUGUUAUAUUCAGAGCAUCUUCUUGCGUCAAGUUCUUUUCCUUUAGCUCUGUUUCUGUUUGUGCUCAAACGGAAUGGCUCAAGGGUCAAGAUAAUUUUAUGACCAUCAAUCUUUUUGCAGCCACAUGCAGACUUGAAAAACUGGUCGUGGCACUAAGGAACUUGAAAAUUAGAAAAGAUUCAGAAUGAGUGACUAAAUAUUAUAAUCGAAACUAAUUAAACAUACACGCCUAGAAAAUCUGAAACUGAACUUCUCAAAUGUAUAUGCCUCUUCGCAGCAAUUGCUUGUGGUGGAAACUUUACCGCAAGGACUUUCUCAAACCCUUGAAGAUCACACUCUACCUGAUAACAAAGAAACAUAGUCAAUAUACGAAGAUGAUUUUACUAACAAGUGAGUGCUUACACAUAUUGGAAGGAUAAUGAUUACUCAUAACCCAAAUCCCCAACACUCCCUAAUAUCUCACUCAAGUGAGUACGAGCUCCCAGAAUUCACUACUGUGAAACUCUUACAACAAAAUUCCCUUUAAAGAUUCUCUACUCAAAUUUGAUGAUGAUGUCCCUCGAAAGGAGGCAAAAAAUCUAACACUGAUCAAAUUGGCUUGUGAACAAUUAAUCUUCCUGGCGAUCAUGCAUACCAGGUGUGGUGAGCAAUCUUCAUUCUGACAUUUGCCUUAAUAAGCGGCUUAGUAUCCUUAACCUGAUAACUUACACAAACAAAAACAACUUGAUUAAAGUAUAAUAUUUAGAGGCAGAACAGUAAAGAAGAUGAUAUAUAUUGGUACUAAAAUUUGACCUGUGUUAUCCUGACGUCAAGAAUCACAGCAUCUCAUGUGGGCAGAAUAUUCGCAGUACAAGAUGCUUGCAAAAUUGAAGCAGCAUCUUAUCACCUGUAAUUUAAUUAAGACAAUAACUUUCCCCAACCAUUUCAAUGCAUUAUUGGCAACUAAAUUCAGAGGGUGCUAAUUAAAUAGCCUUUGAACAAUAUAUUCUAAUUCUUCUCCAAUCUAACAAUUAUUUGGAAAAUCUGAAUGACAAUCAUGCAUCGACGACAUCAAAAUUUGGCUACAAAGCAGCCUGGAAAAGGCUUUACUCUCUGAAUGAGAGCAUGAAUUCGAAACAAAUAUCAUGAAUGAAGAAACAAAGGCAUAAUACCACAAAAAGUAAAACUUUUCCCAGGGCUAUCUGUUUCUGUUUGAACUAAAACCAAUGGAAACCGAUGGAAAUGAAUUUCUAGGAAUUAGACAUAUCAGCCAAAACAGGUACUCUGUACAAGCAAAGUAAAAUAGGGUUACAAAAAAUUUUAAGAUUGAUAUGAUAAUUAAAAUUUCAGUCACCAUAUAAUUAAUAGAAAACUUUGGACACAAUGAUUUAUUGCAUAUUAAGAUUGCUAUAUAAAAUAUAAUAUUAGCAUUAGGAGACCGCACCGAAGCAUACCGAAUUGAAUGUGCCUUUUCACAGCCAUUUUACAAGCUUUGAAGCUUCACCACAAAUGCUUUUUCCAACCCGUGAACAUGGUGCACCCGAGAGAUGCAAGCUAUGAAAUUGUUACUACAGCAAGCGUUGGAACAUUUGUUAAAAAAGGAAGUUUAUGAAAAUACGCCUUUGGAUACCAGUCUUCAGGAAUCAAUUCAUCCGUAAUAACAAUUUUCAAGAAUUAUCAACUGCUUUAAGCUCAUCGACAUCACAAAGAUCUCAACUAAAAUAGAGCAGAUCCGGCCAUCACUAUCCCUUCUACUGCUCUUUUCCUUUAGAGAAUGAUUGAAUUACAGAAUGCGUGUAAGGCAUUCUUAUUCAAGGUCCAAUGAUCAAACCUUGCACUAUAACAACAGAGGUAGUAGUUUCUUCGCCAGCCUAAUCCUUGGUCUCAGGAAUGUCCUCAACAGAGUACUCGAAAUCAACCUAAAAAUUAAGAAUGAGUUGGAAAACUGUUUAUGGCCCUAAAGAACUUGAAAAUAAGAAAAGAUUAAGAAUGAGUGACUAAACAUUUAAUCGCAACUAAACAUACAAACCUUGAAAAUCUAACUUUGAAGUACUCUUGAAUGAAUGAGCAGUUGCACGAGCUGGUGACAACUAAGGUUACUGUGAAGUCUCUUACAAAUCCUUAAAGAUGAUACUUUACAUACCACGAUAACCUGAUAACACAUAGGAACACAAUAAACAUUAAAGUGUAUUCUGACAAUGCAAAUUUGUGGAAAUCAUCAGCUGUGGUUACCUGGACAAUAUUGCCAACACCAAACUCCUUCCUCAAUUGAAACAUAUGAUCAGCCCACAAAUGCUUUGCUUUGUAGCUUUUGAGAGCCUGAAAUUGUUAUCACAACCAACAAUGAAAAUUGGGUGAAAAAAUUGAUAAUAUUAGCUUAAUUCCAUAUGUUUAUAUAGGAUAAACCGAUCAAAGAAUGAAAAAAGAUAGAAACAGAGCAGACCCAGCCAUCACUUUCUUCUUCAAAGUCGCACCAUAACCACAGUGGUAGUCGUUCCACUGCCAGCCUAAUCCUUGGUCACCCCAAUGUUCUCCAUGAAGUAUUCAAAGUCAACCUAAAAAUAAAUAAAAAUGCAAUGCAGGUGGAAAUGAAAAUUCUAUAAAUUAAAUAAAAUAAAAAUGCAAUGCUUGAGCUUGAGCUUGCUUUAGCAUCAUCGUAAUAGUAAAUUUUGAUAUAUCUUUACUUCUCUGUUCUUGUUUAUUCACAACAAGAUAUCAAUAGAAGAAGAUGGAAAUGAAAUUCUAUAAAAUAAAGCAAGUGAAUUACCAACAGAACAUUUUAGCAAUCCUUUGGCUAAACUUUUCAUUUUCUUAGCAUACUCUCCUGCCUGGUGAACAUAAUUAAACAAGUAUGAAAUAAAACAAAGUGGGCUAAUGUAGUAAAAACAAUAACACAAUUACUUUAAAGAAUUAAUGUCACGUAUAUUAUAUAUAAAAAAAUACGAUUAUCAUUAUAUAAGAUAAAAUUGAUAAUUUAGUUUUCAACAUUACUGCAAACGUAUCACAGAGAUUUUGUUACACAUAACAAAUUUUCGUACAUAUGAAAAUAAAUUACAUUGCAUGAAAUUUUACAAAAGAGCACAUAUUUUUUAAAAGUAAAUAAAUAUAGAAAUUUCAACAGACUACACUUGUAUUUUUUUUUAAUUAUUUAAUCUUUAGAAAACAAGUUUAACAGAUUUGAUAACUAGGAAGUUUUACGUAUUUAUACCAUGAUUGAUUCUAUAUAGAAUUUUAAUUCAAAAUAUAAUUAUUUUUAUUAAUUUCAUUGCAAGCAACAACGAAGUAAAUUAGAGGAGGAGGAGAAAUUACCGGCGAGUGAUAAAUUACCGCGACCACUUGAUGUGGGGAAUGCGAGAUAUCUUAUGCCAGUCUUCUCCUUUCCCCUCUCUAUAACGGUUUUCCAGAAGAGGACAUCUGUCAAUAGUCAAUUCCUGCAGCGUCGUCGUCCGAAGAAGGUAAUCCGGCAGCACCUUUAAUUUGGGGCAAUACUCAAUUACCAAGGAAGAAAGACGUGGUAUGUCUGUUGUCCUGUGAUCUUCUAGAAUGGGCAGUUCUUCCAUAUUUGCACAAAAAGAAAUCCUCAGUUUCUGCAGUGCCGUCGUUCGAAGAAGGUAAUCCGGCAGCGCCUUCAAUUUGUUGCAAGAACGAACUUCCAAGGAAGAAAGACGGGGCAUGAUAGAGAUGUUUUCCUUCCUCGUAAUCCUGUAAUUCCACUCUUCCAAUUCUUCCAUGUCCCAAAUUAUGAGUGAUUUCAAUUUGGGGAAGGCAGUAACUGAUGAUGAUGAUGAAGAUGAAGACGGGCCAUCCUCACUGCUUUCUUCUAUUCCCAAAAACUCAUUACCCACUCUUUUUACACUUUUCAAGUACCAUAGUUCGAGUUUUUCCAGAGGCAAUUUUCCCAAAGGAGGCAAAUGCUCACACUUAAGGCACGAGCGAAGAUAUAAAUUCCUUAGAUUGGUCAGUGAAGUCAACCAUUUGGGAAAAAUGUUGCGUCCAUAUAAUAUAAUCCCUAAUUUCUCUACACUCAAAGGCGGUUGUAAGGCUUUAAGAAGUUGUUCAUCUUUCUCUUUCUUCCUCCUCCUUUCUUCAUCUUCCCCAUCUACGACUCUACCAAACUCAAGACGCAAACGAAGGAGGUUUUGCUGAUUGUAAAGUUGUAAUCUCUCGACCUCAUCUAAACGGGACACAUUACCCAGCCCUUCAAUUCCACAUUCUCGAAGGAGUUGAAGAUUUUUCAGAGAUUCAAGCCUACAAGUAUUGCUACCAUCAACACCUCCACCCACCACAAACUUGUCUAAUGUUCGAAGACUGGUUAAUUUGGAAAUCCCUACUGGCAUGUAUUUCAACGAAUAAGUUUCAGCAUUCAGUAAACUCCUCAUGUUCUUUAACUUCCCAAUCCCCGCUGGCAAUUCUUUAAGAUUUCGGCACCGCCUAAUAUCUAGCUUUUGUAAAUUAUAUAAUUCACACAAAGUCUUAGGUAGUCUCUCUAUGCCUAAUUCAGACAAAUUAAGAUAUCUUAAAUGUAUCAAUUUUCCGACAUUUUUUGGAAUUUCUCUAAUCAAACUUGAGUGAAGACGAACAGGCGAGGAUGAUAGCCUUAUAACUAAUGAUUCCCUUAUAACUAAUGCCCUCAAACAUGCCAAUUUACUAAAUAACUUUCGAGUUUCUCUAAUCUUAUAUGUGUUUGGACAAAAACAUAGGCGCAACAGCCUUAUAACUAAUGCCCUUAAACAUUCUUUGCUACUACUAAAAGACGAAAGGAUGCUACUAAGAGACAGAUUGAAAUCACUUCUAUCAUAAAUUAAAAGGGUACGCAAUCUAUCAAGUCCACGAAUGGAUAUAGGAAAUGAAGUGCCUCUUUGAAAAUUUAACCCUAAGUGACGGACUUUGUCACCAAAAGAGUUUAUGACUGAGUCUUUGGUACCAUUAAUUUCUACCCACAAACAUUCUUUUCUACUUACAAAUUGGGCAAAAUCAUGUAUUAUGUCAUGCAUCUUGCAGCUCAUAAUAUCAUCAUCAUCAUCUUUUUUAAACUCUUGAAAGAAAGAGCGUGCUGCUAAAAUGUUGAAAUACUCUUCCCCAAUCAUCUCCAUCUCUUCGUCUUCUUCUGUAUUAAGAUAACCUUGAGCCAUCCAUAGUGAAAUUAGUUCCUCUUUAUUCAUAUUGUAGUUUUUUGGAAAGACAGCACAAUAUGAGAAACAUUGUUUUACCAUAGAAUUGGAGGGCAAAUCGUUAUAACUCAACAACAAAGGAGCUAAAAGACCUUGCCCAAUUGCUUCUACUUUCCACAUUUCACUCUCUAAAAUUCUUUGCCACUCUUUUACUGUACUUUUAGAGCGCAAGAGAUUCCCUAUUACCUUUGCAGCAAGAGGCAGGCCUUUGCACUUAUGUGCAAUUUUGCGCCCGAUUGGUUCUAAUUUUUCACGAUCCUCAAAGGACCUACGUAGAAAUGCCAUCUGCUUAAACAGUAACCAACAUUCCCCUUCUCCCAACUCCUUGACAGGGAUAAUAUCUAUUGAUCCCAACUGUAGUGCAACUGACCUAUCACGUGUGGUAAUUAGAAUUUUACUUUCAUGGUGGCCAUUCUUUAGACAAGAAAAGAAUGGGUCCCAUUUUUUGUAAUCUACAUCCCACACAUCAUCUAAAACAAGAAAAAACUUUUUUCCUUCAAUUGAUGUAUGGAUAUGGCUCAUAAGAGAUUGGAAUUCGCUUAAAUCAUAAGCUUCUUUUGACUUGCCUAGACCUUCAAUGAUUGCUUUGGCAACCCUAAUCCUCUCAAAAGUGUCUGAUACACACACCCAUAUAACUUUUUCAAAAUUUCUUUUCACCUCAUCAUUAUUAUAGGCCAGUUGUGCAAGAGUGGUUUUACCUAUACCCCCUAACCCAACUAGUGAGAUGAUAUGAAGGCCUUCUUGUUGUUCACUACUUUGACACAACAACUUGCUUAAGAGCUCAUCUUUCUCAUUAACUCUACCGCAAACCUCUCCCUCAUCAAUCAAGGAGGUGGUUCGCACUCGCUCUGGUUUCUUGACAUUGUUACUCACAUUCUCAACAAAUUUAAACAUAUCUUUUCGAGUGGCAAUACCAUCUAGCUU
Molecule: long non-coding RNA, 32837 nt
Filed under: Citrus maxima (pomelo)
Lineage: Eukaryota; Viridiplantae; Streptophyta; Magnoliopsida; Sapindales; Rutaceae
Description: long non-coding RNA (CMAX_LNC003743)
Source: RNAcentral